UGUUAGUGAUGAUGUAUAAAGCUAA
This 25-nucleotide non-coding RNA is filed under the name Cricetulus griseus (Chinese hamster). Lineage: Eukaryota; Metazoa; Chordata; Mammalia; Rodentia; Cricetidae. The record is from RNAcentral.